GACAGAAAGGUGCCUGUUGAAACAGAGUUCUCCCAAAUCAUUCAGAUUCUAACACUUCAAGAUCGUGUUUAUGAUUUAGAGAGCGUUCAAGGCCGUUGCUGUGCAGAAAAUAUUGUACUUGUGCUGGUGUCGGGGAGGAGAUGGCUGAAAAUCAGAGUACUACUCACUGGUCAGUCCUGGCCAAGCAGCAGAACUCUUUCAAGACUGAGCUUGGGCAGUUGGAGGAUGACGAGCUGCUCAGCCACCCAGGACAGUUUCUUAGAUGACAGUGAACUUGUAGAGAAACUCAAAUCAACGAAGUCAACUGCAGCAGAAAUACAGCACAAGCUAGGAACAUUUUGCCUUCAGUGCAGUCUUCCACAAAGCAAUUAAGCAGGCGCAAAAAUCAGGGGAUAUUCAGUGUUGUAUCUCUAACCUGACAGAAGCUGCCUCAUAUUCAACCUUUCUUUUCACAAGCCAAGGACUUUUUGAGAAGGAUAAGCUCAUUUUCCUGGCCCAAACAGCUUUUCAGAUGAGGAACAAUUUUCAGAUCCGUGAUGCUGAUACUUGCUGGGUUUGCUCUUUCUUCUCUAGAAGGUGAUGCCUCUGCCCAAACCAGUUAUCUCGUUACCUUGUGGCUGUG
Molecule: long non-coding RNA, 622 nt
Filed under: Calidris pugnax (ruff)
Lineage: Eukaryota; Metazoa; Chordata; Aves; Charadriiformes; Scolopacidae
Description: lncRNA (ENSCPUG00000010885.1)
Source: RNAcentral